AUCGCUUCUCGGCCUUUUGGCUAAGAUCAAGUGUAGUAUCUGUUAAGUGCCUCACCUCUGAGGGUUUAGGGGAGAGGUGAAUGAGGGUACUUGUGUUAAGUGUCUCACCUCCG
This is a small nuclear RNA of Oryctolagus cuniculus (rabbit), 113 nucleotides long. Its record names the gene U2. It matches the Rfam family "U2 spliceosomal RNA". Rfam says of the family: U2 is a small nuclear RNA (snRNA) component of the spliceosome (involved in pre-mRNA splicing). Complementary binding between U2 snRNA (in an area lying towards the 5' end but 3' to hairpin I) and the branchpoint sequence (BPS) of the intron results the bulging out of an unpaired adenosine, on the BPS, which initiates a nucleophilic attack at the intronic 5' splice site, thus starting the first of two transesterification reactions that mediate splicing. The record is from Ensembl. NCBI's taxonomy places the organism in Eukaryota, Metazoa, Chordata, Mammalia, Lagomorpha, Leporidae.